UGAACAACAUACUUGAUGUCCUACAUGAUUAAAUUAUUAACACUUUUAGUAUUUUGACAUCAUGAAAUAAAUCUUUAAAAAGAAAACAAAGAUAAUAAGUAUCAUGAAGUCAAUAAGUCAAAUCUUAAUUUGACCCGUUGUAGAUAGAAUACUACUGGGUUUGGGUUGGUUAACAGGUCCAAAUGGGUUAAUGGGUAAGCUUAUUAUAUGGGUUGAGCCACCGACACUCAUUGUCCUCUUUUCCUUUAAAUAUCAUAUUGAACAUGGUUAAAACGGAACUGAACACCGAUAGUCUAGAUAAAAAGGUUGAAAUUGGUAUCUCUAUUGUCUGUUUAAAACGCAACUCCAAUGGUAGAUAAAAUCAAACCUGUAUACGUGUUCCUAAAGCAAUAGCAUUUGAUGCUUCGUGGAUAAGGUCUGCAGCAUGCAUGCCAAAUAUAUGAACACCGAGGAUCUCUCCAUUAUCUGGUCUAUAUAUCAACUGCAGGCAAAAAGCAAAAGUAAGUAACCUUACGAUAAAACAAAAGGAAAAUAAAGUUCAUAAACAUAUUUGUAAUCAAUUACCUUAGCAAUCCCCUCUCCUUCAUUUUCAGCGAGGGCUUUAGUGUUAGCCUUAAAGCUAGUCUUGGCAAUACCGAUUUCAAAUCCUUCUUUCUCGGCUUUUUCUCUUGCUUGGGGCUGCAAGUUUGUAACUAAAACUGCUCAGAAAAGCUUUCUGAUGAUUACAGAAUAAACUACGCAACAAUUUUAUAGCUCGUAGGUUGAAAAAAUAGAUUCCCCAAUAAAAAAGAUAUGUUCUGCCCAAACGCAUAAAGAUUAUAAUUUCGUUUUGAGGGCGAAAGAUUAUUUAUUUUGUAUUAUAGGUUGCGUCUAAAUAUAAUACUAUAUUUCGUUAACUGUAACAGUGUAACAUACCUCAGUUAACCCAACCAUACUAAUUUCUGGAUGAGUAAAACAUGCAGCUGGGAUACUCAAAUGAUUUAGAACAUGGUCUUUUCCGGAAACUUGCUCAACAACUAUUUUACAAACACAAUUGUCAAAUCAGACAGGUGGCGAUAAAACGGUACCAACAUGCUGAUUAAAAGUAUAAACAAAAUGGUCACCUGAAAUGCCCUGAGCACUUGCUGCAUGGGCAAGCAUCAUUUUUCCAUUAGCAUCACCAAUGCAAUACAAGUGAGGGACCUAAUCAUCAAAAUUUAAGUCAAAGAAAUAUAAAAUAUUGAGUACAGCGUAUGCGAGUAGAAAGAGAUAACGUUAAGUAGUACCAAUUCGCCCUUUGAAUCAAUAACUCGCAUGCGUUCAUCAACGGGAAUAAAACCACGUUGUGCCCGCUUACAUUCUCUAAACCGAGCCCUUGUGUAAAUGGGGCCCUUCCAGUUGCAAUGAGAGCAGCAUCUACCUGUAACAAAAGACAAAGUACAAAGGAAAGUUUUAUAAAUAACGUAAUGGAAAUAAUUUGACUUGAGGAUGGUCAAACCAUCAAACCCACCUCCAAUGUAUCUUUUGGUUCCUUUGUCUUUGCAUCAAUAAGCUCGAUUAUUACAGGUUUGCCCUCCUUUGCUGGAGUGAUCUGUCAAUAAGUAAGGAAAACUUAACUCCGAUGAAUUGAAAAAAAAAACUAAAAAUAUGUGUAUAACAGAAGAUAUUAGGUGAGUAUGAACCUUGGUUGCGAAUACACCAGUAUGAUAGUCAAUCUUUCGAGGAUUUAUGAGAACUCUUUGAGCCAAUUUUCCAAUUUCAGGAUCGAAUCCAGGCAUUAACUGAUCUAAAGCUUCUACAAAUGUCACCUGUAAGACAAUCCAAAGCUUCAUCAUAUAAUUUCACCAUUACUGCAUAUCAUCUAUGCAAACAAAAAAUGUAUUAAACAGCAAAUAAGGUGUGGGUGUGUGGCAACAACUGAACCAGUGUCCUUUCUCCUAAAUUUAAUUGAUCAUUUGAUCAUGAGACAGUACUUAAUGAUUUACACACUAUGAAAAGAAAAGGUAAGAAGGCUUGAAAGUAAUUCAAAUUUUAUUUCACGACAAAUAUUAUAAUAAAGGAUUAGUACUGCCCACCUCACUUCCAAGUGCUGUAUAAACAUCACUGAACUCGAGACCAAUGUAACCACUUCCAACAAUAACUAUCCACUCUGGUACUGUCUCUAGUUUUAGUGCAUGAUCACUGGUUAUGACGGUCUUACCUGCAGGUAGCUGAUCAGUAACAAUUAUGAAGGUAUUAAAACAGUUAUAUUCUAGCUAAGAUUCACAUGCUAUUGCAAACAGAAAGCUAAGUUCCUAUAGAACCAAAAAGAUUCAGCUGAAACUUAUUGUAGCUCAUAUUACAGCUAGACGCUUUU
This 2335-nucleotide long non-coding RNA is filed under the name Helianthus annuus (common sunflower). RNAcentral describes it as "hypothetical non coding rna". Lineage: Eukaryota; Viridiplantae; Streptophyta; Magnoliopsida; Asterales; Asteraceae. The record is from RNAcentral.